Molecule: long non-coding RNA, 182 nt
Organism: Hevea brasiliensis (rubber tree)
Lineage: Eukaryota; Viridiplantae; Streptophyta; Magnoliopsida; Malpighiales; Euphorbiaceae
Exons: 3
Source: RefSeq, a predicted model, not a curated record
GUCGGAAUCGGCAAAGGUGAGCCGGGACAGCCUUCUUCCUCCGCCCAGCCACCACAGUGAUUUGUCGUCAAGUCUGCCACAGGAGGAUAUUUUGUUUUGGGUUAACCUGCUUUUCUACCUCGCAGGUUGUUUAUCAAUAUUGUGUAAUUUUAAUUACUCCUAGAAUUUCCGCAUGUGUUAGC